GGACCAGGCAAUGACACAGCCACUCCAGCAGCAUUUCUGUGUGAUUGCUCUGUUUCCUGACUGUGUUUAGCAUGGACUAUGAAGAGACCUGCUUCUUUCUGAUCAGCCACUAUGAAGUGGACAGGACAUCAUCUGCUGCACCAAGUGGCUUAGUGCUGCACCAAGCAGCUUAGCAGACUGCUGCACCAUAGCAGCAGUUAUGACAAAAAAGAGAAAGAAAAGGAAGGAAAAAAGAAAGAGAGGAAGAACUGGAGACCCUGGGCCUCCAGGCGCAGGUGAGCUGAGGGGCUGGCUAAGGCAACACCAUCCCAGGCACAGGCUUAACACAGAAGACAAGCCUAAUUGAAUGCCAGCGAAGGGAACAACUGAGGCCCUGAAGGCCCGUGGUUGGAGGUCCCCCCAUCCCUAAAAACCAUGUCACGGCACCAUUUGUUAUUCUUUCCCCGGGUGGGUUGGCGGAGCCCGCCAUGAGAAAGUAGCUACAGGAGGGCACGCGCUGCGCCCACGGUGGCGGCAGGGAACAGGCACAUAAACACAGGAAAUAGCCAUAAGUAUUUAUUAAGGAAGAGGAAGAAAGGAAGAAAGAAAGAAAGAAAGAAAGAAAGAAAGAAAGAAAGAAAGGAAGAAAGAAGAAAUAAAAGGAGAGAAAAAAAGAUAAAAGAAGAGACAGAGAAAACGCAUGCACACGCCAAGAAAGCAGAAAGAGGAAGGGUCCCAAGAUGGCAACGGGCAGGUCAGAGGUUAUGGGAGUGGGCGUGGCUAGGGCAGGGACAGAAAGAAUAACAUCCUUGAUCUCUUUUUGUUGUCUUAAUGUUCUAUCCAGAUCUUCAAGAACUAUGAUGAAUAGAUAUGGAAUGAGUGGUCAACCUUAUCUUGUUGCCAAUUUUAGUAGAAUCAUUUUGGGUGUCUCCAUUUAAUUGGAUGUUUGCUGUCAAUUUGUUGUAUAUUGCUUUUCUUCUGUUUAUGUUUUUUCUAUCCAUGAUCUCUCCAAGACCUUUAUCAUGAAGGAGUGUUGCAUUUACUCAAAUACUUUUUUCAGCAUAAUGAGAUGAUUAUGAGGUCUUUUCUUUCAGUUUAUAUAUAUGGUGGGUUACAUUAAUUGAUUUUCAUAUAUUGAACCAGUAUUUGCUGAAUAAUUAUUACCUUUUCACUAUCAUAAACUUAAUAUGUACAUCCAUCAUAAAAUAGAAACUGUCUUUUUUUUCUUUUGGUUUUUUGAGACAGGGUUACUUUCUGUAACAGCCCUAGAUGUCCUGGAACUAGCUCUUGUAGACCAGGCUGGCCUCAAAUUCAGAGAUCCACCUGCCUCUGCCUCCCAAAGCUGGGAUUAAAGGAAUGCACCACCACUACCUGGCUAGAAACUGUCUUUACUAUAUUAAAUAGAAAUUCUUAACAUUAUAGCCUCUAAAGAUAAAUAUAGGGGAUAUUUUGAUAAAUUUAACCAUAUUUAUUGUUAUUUCCCUUCAUUAAUUUGGGCAUAAAGCAUGUAUGUGCUUAUUGCCCUUUUAAUAGUUAUACAGAAUUUUUAUAGGUUUAUAUCACUGACAGAAUGCUAUACCCAGUUAAAAUUUAAUUCCUAGGUAUAAUUGCUUAAAUAUAUCAAUGUGUCAAAUUAACAUGUUCAAAAAUUCAUACACAAGAUGUUUCUUUGAUUUGUUUAUUAAUACAAAAGUAGUAUGUAGCAAUUACUUAUAUUCAUAAGUAAUGUUAAAUGUGACAGUUUGAUUAUUACAUAUAUACUAAUUUAAAGAUGAAAUAAUAUGCUUUCUUUUCACCAUCAAUCAGAAGAUUUGAUCAGAAUGUGUUGAGAAGAUUGGAGAGAUUAUGAAAAGUUAUGGGUAGAAAUAGACACUGAAGUCCUUGCAUCUAUUUUUUCUAUUGAUUAUUUUGCUAGAAUACACCACAUUCUGAAUUUUAAGGCACAUAGGAGCUUUUAAUGAGCUGUUUUGCAUUUGUGGCAGUUAUUUCUCAGGCUCCAAAUUAAUCACUAUAUAUCAAUACAAAUUUACACUUAUAAGAAGAAAUGAGUUAAACAAUACUUCAAACAUAAAUUGAAACUCUAUUAGUAA
Long non-coding RNA from Alexandromys fortis (reed vole), 2069 nucleotides. RefSeq lists it as uncharacterized. The record is from RefSeq and is a predicted model, not a curated record. Lineage: Eukaryota; Metazoa; Chordata; Mammalia; Rodentia; Cricetidae. The transcript has 2 exons.